RNAcentral lists this transfer RNA (73 nucleotides) under Planctomycetaceae bacterium. Its description in RNAcentral is "tRNA-Lys". It matches the Rfam family "tRNA". From Rfam's summary of the family: Transfer RNA (tRNA) molecules are approximately 80 nucleotides in length. Their secondary structure includes four short double-helical elements and three loops (D, anti-codon, and T loops). Further hydrogen bonds mediate the characteristic L-shaped molecular structure. tRNAs have two regions of fundamental functional importance: the anti-codon, which is responsible for specific mRNA codon recognition, and the 3' end, to which the tRNAs corresponding amino acid is attached (by aminoacyl-tRNA synthetases). tRNAs cope with the degeneracy of the genetic code in two manners: having more than one tRNA (with a specific anti-codon) for a particular amino acid; and 'wobble' base-pairing, i.e. permitting non-standard base-pairing at the 3rd anti-codon position. Lineage: Bacteria; Pseudomonadati; Planctomycetota; Planctomycetia; Planctomycetales; Planctomycetaceae. The record is from RNAcentral.
GAGGAUGUAGCUCAGGCGGUAGAGCAACGGACUUUUAAUCCGUAGGUCGCGGGUUCGAAUCCCGCCAUCCUCA